This 460-nucleotide ribosomal RNA is filed under the name uncultured bacterium. Its description in RNAcentral is "partial 16S ribosomal RNA". It matches the Rfam family "Bacterial small subunit ribosomal RNA", at positions 338 to 795 of the family's 1533-position model. The record is from RNAcentral.
CCUACGGGUGGCAGCAGUGAGGAAUAUUGGUCAAUGGCCGGAAGGCUGAACCAGCCAUGCCGCGUGAAGGUCAGUGCCCUAUGGGCGUUAAACUUCUUUUGUGCGGGAGCAAUAAUGGUCACGUGUGGCCAGACGAGAGUACCGUACGAAUAAGCAUCGGCUCACUCCGUGCCAGCAGCCGCGGUAAUACGGGGGAUGCAAGCGUUAUCCGGAAUUAUUGGGUUUAAAGGGUGCGUAGGCUGUGAGGUAAGUCAGCGGUGAAAUGCCCCCGCUCAACGGGGUGAAGUGCCAUUGAUACUGCCUUGCUGGAGUGCGGAUGCCGUGGGAGGAAUGUGUGGUGUAGCGGUGAAAUGCAUAGAUAUCACACAGAACACCGAUUGCGAAGGCAGCUCACGAAUCCGCGAUUGACGCUGAUGCACGAAAGCGUGGGUAUCAAACAGGAUUAGAUACCCUAGUAGUC